Xyrauchen texanus (razorback sucker) is the source of this 604-nucleotide long non-coding RNA. RefSeq lists it as uncharacterized. The record is from RefSeq and is a predicted model, not a curated record. Lineage: Eukaryota; Metazoa; Chordata; Actinopteri; Cypriniformes; Catostomidae. The transcript is spliced from 3 exons.
CAGGAGUCGCACUCGGGUCUCAGGAGGAUGAAGGGAUUGGAAAAGGACUUUUCUCUUUGAGAAGAUAAGGGAAUGUUUUUAUAACACUGAAUGAAAUCUCACUGUCGUUCUGUUCCUCUGUCCGGCUACUGGAGGGUCCCGUCACAGAACUGCAGUGUGGUUCUGCAGGACGAGUCGGGGUUUGUGGUGACACGUUUCCCCUCACAGAUGCUAAAUGUUUGCUACAUUGAUGACAGCUGGAGAUAAUAUUUAAUGCUUACCCGUCCGGACCCCACAGCGGCCAAGCAUCUGAUUGGACACGUCCUGUCAUCGCUGAGACAGCGAGUUCAGAUGACAGAAGAAUGCUGGACUUCCUCAAAACACUGUGACUGAACUUAUUCCAGGUGCUCAGACAGACCUGGUCGUCAUGGGAACUAAACUGUGACGCCAUGAUUAAAGCUGAAGGAUAAUCGGUCCAUAUUAAAACCUGCUGAUGAUUAAACAGAAUUGAAUCGGAUCCAGAUGGAUCAGACUGCUCAUUUGCUGAUUUCUGUCAUUGGUUCUUUGAUGAUAUCAUGACUGUUAUAAUUGUAAAAAAAAAGUUGUUGCACUUUUGAAAAAUCAA